RNAcentral lists this ribosomal RNA (482 nucleotides) under uncultured bacterium. Its description in RNAcentral is "partial 16S ribosomal RNA". It matches the Rfam family "Bacterial small subunit ribosomal RNA", at positions 30 to 507 of the family's 1533-position model. The record is from RNAcentral.
AUUGAACGCUGGCGGCAUGCUUUACACAUGCAAGUCGAACGGUAACAGGCCGCAAGGUGCUGACGAGUGGCGAACGGGUGAGUAAUGCAUCGGAACGUGCCCAGUCGUGGGGGAUAACUACUCGAAAGAGUAGCUAAUACCGCAUACGAUCUAUGGAUGAAAGCGGGGGACCGUAAGGCCUCGCGCGAUUGGAGCGGCCGAUGUCAGAUUAGGUAGUUGGUGGGGUAAAGGCUCACCAAGCCAACGAUCUGUAGCUGGUCUGAGAGGACGACCAGCCACACUGGGACUGAGACACGGCCCAGACUCCUACGGGAGGCAGCAGUGGGGAAUUUUGGACAAUGGGCGCAAGCCUGAUCCAGCAAUGCCGCGUGCAGGAAGAAGGCCUUCGGGUUGUAAACUGCUUUUGUACGGAACGAAACGGCUCUGGUUAAUACGCGGGGCUAAUGACGGUACCGUAAGAAUAAGCACCGGCUAACUACGUG